AGCUCCUCAGGCACAACUCCGACAACACCAUCUACUGGAACCGGCACAACCCCAAGCACCGGAACUACCCCUACCACCGGCACAACCCCUACCACUGGCACAACCUCUACCACUGGCACUACCCCUACCACCGGCACAACACCUACAGGCGCCACCCCAUACACGGCAACUCCUGGAGUACUAGGAGGCACUGGCAUGGGAAUAGGGCCAUCGGGAGCUGGCAUCAACACGGACGACAGCGGUGUGAUUAGACCUGUUGACACUACUAGCUUGUUUUCUUCUCUCCUAACCCUAUUCUUCUCAGGCUUGAUGCUUUGGUGGGACUGAAAAGGAAUUUAGUGGACGUGAGGAGGAGGUGGGGUAGGAUGUGCAAAUAUGAACAUCAUUUGGGACAUCCUUGCUAGGGUUGGAGGCAUCCAAACAUAGGCCUCACUACAGACUUUAGGACAAAACAUUCAGAAAGCUCAUGUACACGUAUGUAUACAUACAUUUAUAUAUAUAUAUAUAUAUAUAUAUAUAUAUAUAUGUGUGUGCGCGCGCAUAAUUACUUUUGUAAUGUGGUUCCACCCUGAACACGUAGAAAUGGAACUUGACUUCAACUAUAUAUGGAUGCCUUCAACCUUAAAGCUGUAUCACGUGGAUGGAAACAAAAUUCAUUUGGGCAGGGCUUCGAAUUUGGCCUUGAUUCGUGGUUGUGGGCAAUAUUUAUCGUUGGAGUGGGUCGAAUUCACUUCCUACAACUCGUCUUCCAUGAUGGUUGUGCGCUCCCGACUUGCCCGCGGCUGAGCCGCCUUACUAGGCCACACCUGUGGUGUAUUUUCGAUGUAGGCAACAGAUCUGUCUAGCGGCGGUGUUGCCCUUGCUAUGAAGACGAGCUGAUUUGUGGUUGUAUUCUUGGAUUAAAUAAUUUUAUUGUUUUGUGAUUGCUUCGACAACUUGUUGUGGCCUCGCUUGUUUGAGCGACGGCUUUGUGUGGACAUUGCGUACCAAAUUUGAUGUCAUUAUCGUCUUUGCAUUAGAUUUGAUCACUGGAGAAUAUGUACCUAAUAUGGCACCCUCUUGUAUUGUUCGGUUCUUCUCUCCUGUAUUGUUCGGUUCUUAUGAAUGAAGUCACUCUACCGUUGCCCUUCAAAACAAAAUUCAUUUAUUUUAAUUUUAUUAAGUAUACAUACGAACGUACAUUCUUAAAUUUAUAAGAUGAUGUAUCGUUAAUGGGUCAUUUGUUGAUAUUGUCGAUACUCUUGAUGAACUUGGUUGCGUAAAGAGCAGCUAACCUCCAUUAUAUUGAGGUCUCAAUCUUAGUAAGAGAGCAAUAUAAUUUUUAUCAAAUUUAAGGGCGGAGUAUUUUUGGAGCUAUAUAAUUUACAUCAAAUCCAGCAAUAAAAAAGGCAGUGGACUGCAUGUAAUUAGGCCUGGCAAUUCCUGACACGACCCGAUAACCUGACACGACACGACACGAAAUUAACAGGUGUUCGGGUCGACACGAUAACGAAACGGGUCGUUAUCGGGUAACCCGAUAAGCACCUGUUAAGAUAACGGGUUUGUUCGGGUAUACACGUGGGUAACACGAUACACGAUAAGUAGAAUAUUAAUUUAAUAAUUUAUAACCCUAAAAAAAUACUAUAAUAAUAUAUAUAUAUAUAUAUAUAUAUAUUAAUUUAACAAUUUUAUACCCCUAAAAACUAUAAUAAUUAUAUAUAUAUAUUAAAUUAACUAUAAUAAUUAUACCCAAAAUAUUAACUAUAAUAAUUAUAUAUAUAUAUAUUAAAUUUUAUACCCCUAAAAACUAUAAUAAUUAUACAUACAAAAUAAAUAGAUUUAAAUCUACUUAAUAAAUAAAUACAUAUACACCCACACACACACCAUUGAACUUCAUGGGAUACGAAUUAUACGAAAUUAAUUUCAACGAUCCAACCGUCAAACAUGUUUGUAUAUACUUCGAGAUCUCAUACGUCAAAAAUUGCAAAAAAAAACAUUCAGAGACCAAGUAACGGGACAAAACUUUUCGACGGUUAUAAACGAAAAAUCACGAUUUAACGGUCAUUUUAACUCCGAUUUUGAUGAUUUUUUACAACCACACUCCUUGACCCUAUAUGAAUACAAUGAUUGAAUUCGAUCUUCAAUUUAAAAUAUUUACACUAGUGGAUCUUAUGUUAUACUUAAUAAAAGUAUGAAUAAACUUUUAAGUAUUAGUGAAUCUAUUGUUUUGAUGGGAUACUCAUUCUACAAAACUAGUUUCAAUGAUCCAACCGUCAAACAUGUUUGUAUAUACUUCGAGAUCGCAUACGCCAAAAAUUGCAAAAAAAAACAUUUAGAGAUCAAGUAACGGGACAAAACUUUUCGACGGUUAUAAACGAAAAAUCACGAUUUAACGGUCAUUUUAACUCCGAUUUUGAUGAUUUUUUACAACCACACUCCUUGACCCUAUAUGAAUACAAUGAUUGAAUUCGAUCUUCAAUUUAAAAUAUUUACACUAGUGGAUCUUAUGUUAUACUUAAUAAAAGUAUGAAUAAACUCUUAAGUAUUAGUGAAUCUAUUGUUUUGAUGGGAUACUCAUUCUACAAAACUAGUUUCAAUGAUCCAACCGUCAAACAUGUUUGUAUAUACUUCGAGAUCGCAUACGCCAAAAAUUGCAAAAAAAAACAUUUAGAGAUCAAGUAACGGGACAAAACUUUUCGACGGUUAUAAACGAAAAAUCACGAUUUAACGGUUAUUUUAACUCCGAUUUUGAUGAUUUUUGACAACUACACUCCUUGACCCUAUAUGAAUACAAGUAAUGAAUUCGAUCUUCAAUUUAAAAUAUUUACACUAGUGGAUACCACAAAAUCUUAUGUUAUGCUUAAUAAAAGUAUGAAUAAACUAUUAAGUAUUAGAGAAUCUAUUGUUUUGAUGGGAUACUCAUUCUACGAAACUAGUUUCAAAGAUCCAACCGUCAAACAUGUUUGUAUAUACUUCGAGAUCGCAUACGUCAAAAAUUACAAAAAACAAACAUUCAGAGAUCAAUUAACGGGACAAAACAUUUUGACGGUUAUAAAAAGAAAAAUCAUGAUUUAACGGUCAUUUUAACUCUGAUUUUGAUGAUUUUUUGUAGCUAAACUCCUUGACCUUAUAUGAAUACAAUGAUUUAAUUCGAUCUUCAAUUUAAAAUAUUUACACUAGUGGAUACCACAAAAUCUUAUGUUAUACUUAAUAAAAGUAUGAAAUAAACUAUUAAGUAUUAGUGAAUCUAUUGUUUUGAUGGGAUACUCAUUCUACGAAACUAGUUUCAAAGAUCCAACCGUCAAACAUGUUUGUGUAUACUUCGAGAUCGCAUACGUCAAAAAUUACAAAAAACAAACAUUCAGAGAUCAAUUAACGGGACAAAACUUUUCGACGGUUAUAAAAAGAAAAAUCACGAUUUAACGGUCAUUUUAACUCUAAUUUUGAUGAUUUUUUGCAGCUACACUCCUUGACCUUAUAUGAAUACAAUGAUUGAAUUGGAUCUUCAAUUUAAAAUAUUUACACUAGUGGAUACCACAAAAUCUUAUAUUAUACUUAAUAAAAGUAUGAAUAAACUAUUAAGUAUUAGUGAAUCUAUUGUUUUGAUGGGAUACUCAUUCUACGAAACUAGUUUCAAAGAUCCAACCGUCAAACAUGUUUGUAUAUACUUCGAGAUCGCAUACGUCAAAAAUUACAAAAAACAAACAUUCAGAGAGCAAGUAACGGGACAAAAGUUUUCGACGGUUAUAAACGAAAAAUCAUGAUUUAACGGUCAUUUUAACUCCGAUUUUGAUGAUUUUUUACAACUACACUCCUUGACCCUAUAUGAAUACAAUGAUUUAAUUCGAUCUUCAAUUUAAAAUAUUUACACUAGUGGAUACCACAAAAUCUUAUGUUAUACUUAAUAAAAGUAUGAAUAAACUCUUAAAUAUUAGUGAAUCUAUUGUUUUGAUGGGAUACUCAUUCUACGAAACUAGUUUCAAUGAUCCAACCGUCAAACAUGUUUGUAUAUGUUUCGAGAUCGCAUACGCCAAAAAUUGCAAAAAACAAACAUUCAGAGAGCAAGUAACGGGACAAAACUUUUCGACGGUUAUAAACGAAAAAUCACGAUUUAACGGUUAAUUUAACUCCGAUUUUGAUGAUUGUUUACAACUACACUCAUUGACCUUAUAUGAAUACAAUGAUUGAAUUCGAUCUUCAAUUUAAAAUAUUUACACUAGUGGAUACCACAAAAUCUUAUGUUUAUACUUAAUAAAAGUAUGGUAUAGUACUAUUGUUUUAUUUUUUUUUCAUAAUUAUUUUGGUAAACUUCUCAUAAUUUGAAUGAUUUUUAAUGUUUGGUUUUUCUAUGCUUAGUUUAUGCAGAAGAGAGUUAUGACGUGGAAAACCUUACUGAAAACAUCAUCAACAUAACUCUUGAAGGCAAUAGAUCAAGCCAAAGUUCCAAUGCAAUUUCAUGAUGAUCAAUGUAAAUCGAGGAUUUUGUAAAUUGAGGUUUAAACUUUUGAGAAAGAUUUCACAACCUUGAAAACAAAAACUGUUUCAUUUUGCAUAUCCUUGCACAUUUAAAAUUUGUAAUAGAUUAGUAGUGUAUGUAUUAUUUUUUUAUUAGGCUCUUAUUUUCGAGUGUAGAUGUAGUACUUAAACAACAAAUGUAUUUUAAUGUUUUGAAGUAAUAUUUAUGUGGCAAUGUGUGGUAUGUGCAAAUUUAAGAAAAAAAAUAUAUUUUUCUUAACGGGUCAUAACGGGUGUGACACGACACGACCCGUUAAGAUAACAGGUGUUACACGAAAACGACACGAACACGACUGACACGACCCGUUUGCCAGGCCUACAUGUAAUGUAACACUAUGUUUGGAUGAAGAAAUUUAAGAUUACUAAGAAAUUUUAAAAUGACAGAAAUUGAAAUGACGAGAUUUUAUUUUCUAGAAUUUGUGAAUUUUCUUGUUUGAUUAAUCUAAAAACAUAAAGGGAGUUGAAUACGAAAUUUGUUAUUUUUAAGCUCUCAACCAUAGAAAUUGGGAAAUGACACCUAUUUACAUGAAAUUUAAACUUGGAAAUUAGAGGUCCCAAAUUCCAAGUUCUUUUCCACACGGAAAUUCUAAAUUUCUAUAUUUAUGAAUCCAAACAGAGAAAUUGGUGUAUGUCAAUUUAUAAAUUCUGACUUUUAUCUAAAUUUCAAGUUUAUUUUCCUCAUCCAAACAUAGUGUAACAGAAAAUUUAGCAUGUUCCGAUAAAUCACGCACACAAAUUUUAGCCGUUAAAACUGAACUUUUAGCAGUUAUAAGCGAGAUUUUAACCGUUAGAUCUUUAAUCAGGAUAAACAAUAAGAUACACCGAAGCAUAUUACAAAGGACUUUUAAUUAUACAAAGCAACCCGGUACAAGAGAAAUAAGACUCAAAAAACACAGUUUAAACAGUUUGAACAUCAUUACAGACGCUGCAGAAAACACAACAGUUUCCUUACAAGUUCACAACCUAUUUUACUCAUCCAUUUCCUCAAUCUUCAUCUUCUUCACAGCCUGAUCGGCAUCGCAUCCGACUUCUGCCCCAUCGCCGCAUCCACAAGCCCUCCGUUCUUCUCAACCCUGUACACAAGCCCGCUUCCGCUUGGCGCUGCAUCUAUGAACACGGUCGAGUUUUCAUCUAUUUCUUCUCGCACAAGCAUCCGCGACAACUCCUUCACCACCUUCUUCUCCAGCCAUCUCCUAAUAGGUCUGGCACCGUAAACCUGAAAACGAAAAAAGAGUACUUGUUUAGUGUUUCAUAUCACACAGGAGAAUGCAGAGAAAAUAUUUUUGGAUUCGUAAAACCGAUACUCACGGGAUCAUAACUCUCGCCCAGAAUGUAAUCCAACGCUGCAUCGGUGACUGCCAUAGCAAUGCCCUUCUCGGCCAGUCGGGCUGCAACAUCUUUCAUUUGCAAUCUGGCAACCUUCCUCAGUUGAUCGCGAGAGAGAGGGUCAAAUACAACAAUCUCAUCGAGAUGGUUCAGCAGCUCAGGGCUAAAGUGCCUUCUCACCUAUUCAAGAACCAAACUAGUUAAGUAUUGAAAGAACGAAGCGAUACGCAAUCAUAAUUCAAAUUUGGGGUAACCAAAGAUGAUACCUCUUUCAUAACUUCAUCGUGAGCAACCUGCAUCGAGCACUUGCCCAUCGAACCGGAGAGGAGAUGUUCUGCUCCCAAGUUUGAAGUCAUGACAAUCACCGUGUUUCUGAAAUCAACUGUACGGCCUUGUCCAUCGGUUAGUCUUCCAUCAUCCAAGACUUGCAGGAGUGUGUUGAAAGCAGCGGUGUGAGCCUUCUCCACUUCAUCAAACAAUACAACACUGUAAGGCCUCCGCCUCACGGCCUCCGUGAGUUGCCCGCCUUCAUUGCGACCAAUAUACCUGUAAAAUAUGAAUGAGUCAGAAUUCAUAAUGCAGCAGCGGAGCUCACAAACAUGCUUGAGCGAAGAAAACUAUGAAUGCAAUUACCCAGGGGGAGUGUCAAUUAAGCGCGAGACAGAAUGUUGUUCCAUAUACUCGGACAUGUCAAUUCUGACAAUCAGAUUCUCGUCAUCAAAAAGUUGUUCAGCAAGCGCCUUCGCAAGCUCGGUUUUACCGACACCAGUUGGGCCCAAGAAGAGGAAUGAACCAGUAGGUUGUUGUGGCCUUCCUAGCCCCGCUCUUGACAUUAAAACCGCCUCGGCGACAGCAUCAACUGCCUGGUCUUGCCCCACUACUCUCUUAUGCAACCUUUCCGCAAGUCCAAUUAACCUUUCCUUGUCAUUCUGGCCAAGCCGUGUGACAGGUAUGCCGGUCCAACGGCUAACCACCUCUGCAAUUUGUUCUGGUCCAACCGUCUCUGUCAAAAUCAAGUUUUCGGCAGUACUACCUUCAAGCUUUGCAAUGGUGGUUUCCACUUCCUGAAUAGGGCCACAACUCAAGUCAGCAGCCCUAGCCAAAUCAUAUCUUCUUUCGGCCUCUGCUAAAGCUACCAAGAGCUCUUCACGCUUCUGCUUAAGCUUUCGAAGCUCGUCCACCCUUUCCUUCUCCUUUCGAUACUUCAUCACCAGUGGCUGAAGCUUGUCUCUCAGUUCAUCAAGCUCUUUUCGCACCUGAGAACAAAAUGGCAGGAACAACGAACACUCUCUAAGAACAAAGAAAGACUUCAUCAGACAAAUACUUUCUAAUAACUUAUGGAUCAAGUAAUCACCUCGACAAGACGAGCUUUGCUAGCUUUGUCCUUUUCUUUCUCAAGUGCAUGAAGCUCAACUUCCAGCUGCAUCCUCUUCCUUUCGAGGUUAUCGAUUUCUUCAGGUUGGCUGUCAAGUUGGACUCUCACAUUCGCACAAGCUUCGUCAACUAGAUCAAUCGCCUUGUCAGGGAGAUGUCGCCCUACAAAACAAAAGCAAAGAGGAAAACUUCAAUACCAAGUAAUUUUUUACAGAACGUUGAUUUCAAAAUUGAAAGCUUACAAAUCCCUAAACAUAGAAAAUAGACCACAAUUGUUAGCUAUUUCUAAUGUAGAGUAAAUUGUAGCAAUGAUCUCUCAACUAAAAAUUCAUUACCAUUGGUUCCUCAACUUAUCAAAAUGUGUAGCUAUAGUCAUUUUUAUCAAUUUCGUCAAAAUUUUGUCAAAAUAAGUUACGUUGGAAUAACCAUUUAUAUAAUUAGGGUCCCUCAACUCAUCAAAGUGUAAUUAUGGUCAUUUUCGUCAACUACAUCAAAAAUUUUGUCAAAAUGAGUUACGUUGGAAUGACCAUUGCUACAAUUAGGUUAGAGUUAAGAGGUCAUUUCUUCAGUUGAAUUAAAGUUGAGGGACCAAUGGUAAUGAAUUUUUAGUUGAGGGAGCAUAGCUACACAUUUUGAUGAGUUGAGGAACCAAUGGUAAUUGAUUUUUAGUUGAGGGACCAUUGCUUCAAUUCAAUUAAAAUUAAGGGAUCAUAGCUACAAUUUACUCUCUAAUUUAUACCUGUGAUGUAUCGACUCGAAAGCUGUGCAGCAACAACAAGAGUUCUGUCCAGAAUCCGAACACAGUGGUGAUCCUCAUACCUCUCUUUCAAACCUCGAAGGAUGCUAAUUGUAUCCGGAACACUAGGCUCCGCCACAUAAACCUGCUGGAACCUUCUCUCAAAUGCAGCAUCUUUGUCUACAUAUUUUCUGUACUCCUCAAGAGUUGUUGCGCCAAUGUACCGAAGUUGCCCCCGUGCGAGCGUUGGCUUGAACAGGUUGCCUGCAUCCAUGGAUCCUUCCGUCCUUCCGGCGCCAAGAACAAGGUGAAUUUCAUCAAUAAACAGAAUCACCUUCCCCUCAGCCUCUUCCACUUCCUUCACAACCGCCUUUAACCGCUCCUCAAACUUCCCUCGAUACUUGGCCCCCAUAUCCAAUGCAAUGAGCCUUACAUCAGCCAAAUUACUUGGGACAUCCCCGCCAACUAUCCUCUGAGCCAGCCCUUCAACCACAGCAGUCUUCCCAACUCCCGGCUCUCCAAUUAGAACAGGGUUGUUCUUAGUCCUCCUCGAAAGAAUCCUCACCACUCUCCUUAUCUCCUCGUCACGGCCAAUAACCGGGUCAAGUUUCCCGGCCUGCUCAACAAGGUCCCGUCCAUAAGUCUUCAAUGCCUGAAAUGUAGUAUCCCCAGAAGCACUCUCCACCUUCUUCCCUUCCUUCCCACGAAGCUUUUCGACUUCAGAUUUCAUUCUGGCCGUGGCAAUGCCGGCUUCCUUCAACAAGUCACCAAUCUGGGAAUCCUCAAGAAGACUAAAGAUCAACUGAUCAACGGCCAAGUGUGUGUCCCCUCUUGUCUUCUGCGCUGACUGAGCUCUCCUAAUCACUUUGAUGAGAGAUGAACUGGCUAGGAUUUCAUACGGCGGAGGUGACUGAGAUGGGAGCUUCUUCAGGGCCUGGUUGAACACCCUCUCCACAGACUUCGGAGUGUCAACACUGCCACCGGCAUUGGCAAUGGCUUGGUUGAAAAUGCCACUGGGAUCAGAUACCAAUGCUGUUGCAAGAUGGAGUGGCGUGAACUGCGCGUGGCCAGCAUCCAUGGCCAGGACAUGAGCUCCGGCAAUAGUCUCAUUGGUCUUGUGGGUAAACUUAUCAGGGUUCAUUUUCCUUCACCAAUUUAUGAUACCUAACAUGCACUGCAAACAACAUGGGUGAGAUAAUAAAAAAAAUGGAACUUUAACGAAAAGCACUGGUACUGUUUACUUUAACGAAAAAUCAUAAUUUUACACUAAAAAGUCAAUCUUAGUACUAUUCACUUUACCCUUUAUUUUGUCAUUAUCAUUAAAACUCAAAGUUUUCAAGCCCUUUUCAUUAGUUUUCCUUAAAAAAAAUGGUUCUUUAGAUUUAAACCCUUGCAAUUUUUAAACUCUAGAUAAAAAUCCAUAUAUAUUAUAACUUCUAAAUAAAACGCACAUUUUCAAUAUUAUGUCAUGUUGGAUAAAAGAUGUCCAUGAAUUUGUGUUUAUUUUCAAAAUCAUGUCACCAAAUCUCUUAUACGUUUCUUUUGGACAUUUAAUUUGUUUAACAUAUUUUAAAUUUUGUGUGAACUACUCCAAUCCAAAACCUAAGUAGAUCAAAUAUAUACGGACAUAUAUUCUACAUUUAUGUAUACUAAUACCAUAAAAAUAAGUAGGUAAAUUAAUUUUGUUACAAAUUUAAAAAGUAGGCACAUCAAUUUUCAUGUAAUUAUACAGUAGGUAAAUUAUUUUCAUCAAAUUAAACAUAUUGUUUUCAAAAAAUUAAUUUUCAUAGUAGGUAAAUUUUUUCAUGUAAUUAUAUAGUUGGUAAAUUAUUUUCAUCAAAUUAAACAGUAGAUAUUGUUUAAAAAAAUUAUUUUUCAUAGUUGGUAAACUAUUUUCAUGUAAUUAUAUUGUAGGUAUAAAAUUAAACAAUAGAUAUUGUUUUCAUAAAAUUAAUUUUCCUAGUAGAUAAAUUAUUUUCAUAAAAUUAAACAAUAGAUAUUGUUGAAAAUAAACACUAAAUUAGGUACAUUCAAAUUGAAAUUUACUGUCGAAAUUAAAAAAAAUUCCAAAUUAAUUCAUCCAUCUAGAACGAUAUUUCAUGGCUACAAGACCUUGCCAAAUUCAAUGCACGUGAUCAAUUAAAACAAAAUUACAAGAACUUUUCAUACUGGCUUAGAUGGGGUAUAUUAGGGAUCUAAAAAAUAUAGAAACGGACACACAAAUUUAAUUUGGUAAGUUGCUUAGUUGGAUCCUAAUCAUUAGGUUUUAUUCGGAUAAAUAUUAUAUGAUGGGCUUGAGGCUAGAAAAAAUGAGUUUGGAGGGGGAAAGUUAAAUUUCUCAGCUAAAAAAAUAAAAGAUGCAAUCAUUGAUCAUGUCUUCCCAAUUUACGAAAUUCUUGAACUUCUUCAAUUCUUUUUCCGAGAUUGAAAACUGACAGAGACUUUACUACUUCAAUUAAUUCGUUCAAAACCCAAAACCCAUAUGGAAAUCAACUCUAAAAACUCAAAUAUUCAUAGAGAGGGAAGCAAGAGAAAUCUUGGACGUACCUUUUGAGGAGGAAGCUGAAGCUUUUCUGCAACAAUGGCGGGUAAGUACACAAUUGCGUUUCAAUAAUUUGAUAUGGUAUUUCUUUCGGUUGAUCGAAUCGUUGAUUCGUAGUGAGUUUUUUCUGAUGGGUGCUUUGGGAGAGUGAGUGAGACUUUAAGGAGGAGAAACUCCAAUGUACGGGUACCUUAAAAAAUUUAUUGUGACACAUGAAUGCGAUGGUUCACACACCACAUUACUACUUUACAAAAAGAUGAUGUAUAAAUUGAUGACCAAGAAAUGAAUGCUGUUUGUAUUUUGACAAGAGGUAAAAUAGUUAAGGACUUCGUUACAAGUACAUAUAGUUUUGUAUCCAUAAUAUUAUUAGCAUAAAACGACACAGUGACAUAAAGAUAAGUUGCUUUCGGUAAAAAAAAAAAGUUUAGUUUUAGCUACGUAUUUUAGAACUCCAUUGUAUUGACUUUAUGCCUGUAACUAAAAAAAUGACUAAUUUACUUCUUAAAACUCAAAAUUUGCUCUACUUAGCUUGUGGACUUUCUAUUCUCCCUAAAACUUAUAGAUUGCUUUCUAAAACAUAUAUAUGAGCCAACAUUCAAUAAGAAUAUGCCAUAUGUGCAAUAAAUUUGAUUAUGAGUAAACAUUCAAUAAUCAGAUAAUAUUAAGUUUAAAAGAAAUUGAAGGGAUGAAAAAAAUUAGAAAGGAAAUUGAUUCGCCUGGCUCACUCAAAUCAAACCCACACAUAAGAAACUAUUGUAAGAUCCCAUAUCGCUCAAGGGAGUGAUCCUUAUAUGUAUAUCACAUCCCUACCUAGCACGAGGCCUUUUGGGAGCUCACUGACUUCGGAGUUCAUAGGAACUCGGAAGUUAAACGAGUAGCGCACGAGAGCACUCCUAUGAUGGGUGACCCAUUGGGAAGUUCUUGUGUGAGUUCCCAGAAACAAAACCGUGAGGGCAUAGUCGGGGCCCAAAGCGGACAACAUCGUACUACGGUGGUGGAGCGGGUCCGGGAUGUGACAACUAACAUAUCUAAGGUAAUAUGUCACGAAUCAAAUCGUGUCUAAUGGGGCAAAAUGCAAUGGAUUUUGAAUUCUAGAGAAUAAACUAACCACUUUUGAGUUACAAUGAAAAUAAAAUAAUUAAAUUAGAGUUCAGAAAAGCAUAACUAAAAUUAAGAAAUUACAAGCUUAUACCCGCCACACUCGAUAGCUGCUGGGUUAGGUCUUAGCAUGAGACACAUGGAAUCCUAUGUGAAUCAGCGAGGACCACCUUGCAAGGCUAAAUACUCAUGGGUGAUUGAUAUUGAAGUAGUACCGUGAGGGAAGGGUGAAAAGAAUCUCUAUUGGGGAGUGAAAUAGAACAUGAAACCGUAAUCGGCCACAUUAAAAUUACCUUAUGGGGAGGUCCGUUUGAUAUCCAAAAACUGCUUAGCAACAGUUGGGAUUUUUUACCUAAUUUAAAAUUUGAUAAUCAAGGAAUUUAUCUACUCCAUCUGACUAGUUCUGGGUUCGAGUCCUGGGCAACCCAUUAAAAUUAGCAUAUCAAAAUCAUGUGUAUAUAAAUCCUUUAAAUUCAUUUCAUUAAAAACUUGUUAAAAACUAUACACAUCGCGAGACGGAGAAAAAAGAAAAGGAAAACUAAUGAAAAGUGUCACAUCCCAAAUCGGCUCUGCCGUAGCACAAUAUUGUCCUUUUUGGGCCCCGGCCACACCCUCAUGGUUUUGUUUCUGGGAACUCAUACGAGAACGUCCAAGUGGGUCACCUAUCAUUGGAAUGCUCUCACUCAAACUUGGUUAACUUCGGAGUUCCAAUGGAAUCCGAAACCAAUGAGUUCCUAAAAAGCCUCGUGCUAUAUGGAGAUGGUCAUGUAUAUAUAAGGCACAUAACCCUCUCUCUGUUGGUCAAUGUGGAAUGUUACAAUCCACCCCCUUAGGAGGACGUUGACACACUUGCACCACACGACAGAGUGACUUUGAUACCAUUCUAUCACAUCCCAAACAGGCUCCGCUGUAACACAAUAUUGUCCUUUUUGGGCCUCUGCCACGACCUUACAGCUUUGUUUCUUGGAACUCAGACGAGAACUUCUCAGUGGGUCACCUAUCCUGGGAACGCUCUUACCCGAACUUGCUUAACUUCAGAGUUCCGAUGGAAUACGAAGCCAGUGGGUUUCAAAAAUGUCUCAUGCUAUAUAGAGGUGGUCAUGUACAUAUAAGGCACAUUAUCCCCUCUCCGUUGGUCGAUGUGGGAUGUUACAAAAAAAAGCUUAAAAACUUUGAGUUUUAAUAAAAAAGAUAAAAAUGUGUUGUAAAUAAAUAGUAUUAAGAAUGACUUUUUAAAGUAAAAAUAUCAUAAUCGUUAAAAAUGAUCAGUAUAAGAAUUGUUUUGUUAAAACUCUCAAAAAAGAAAGGUACCCCCAAGCUGACAACAUACUGAGCCACUAUCACCGCACCGUCAACAUCACCAAGUUUUUUACUUUUUUAUUUUUUGGUUUUUGAGUUUCUAGAGAUAUACCCAUGUUUCCUUUCUCUCACACACCCUCAUCCAACUUCUCCUUGUCUCUCUCUCUCUCUACCUAACUUCAGCAGUAGCUAGAUUGCUUUGAGCUCCACUGUUACCUUACCACACACUACUCUCGCUCUCUCUUUCCCUUCAACCAUGGCUGCCCUUGCUUUUGCAGCUCUGCUUCUCUUAGCCAUGGCUGGCCAGUUAAGUAAGAACACAUUUAUGUAUUUUCCAUAUAUAUUUUUUUUGGUGAAAUGGGUAUUUUUCUCUACCAUAUUUCCUAUAUUUUACUUAUCUAAUGAAGCCAAUAAACCAUUUUAGUUUUUUUUUUUUAAAUGCCAAUUUCCCUUACUAGUAAUGUGUUCAUUUUUCCUUCUAACUUGUAUUUAUGUUAAAGAUUUCAUAUUUCUCUUAAAGUUUGCAUUUUUGGGGUUUCAAUUAAAAAGAAAAAAAGAUCUGAUCUUUGGUCUUCCUACCAUAUAUAAAUUCACCCCUUUUAAUAUUUUGAGAGUCUGAUUUAUUUAUUUAUUUGUGGGAAAUAUGUUUAUGUAGGAGCAAACUGGUGUGUUUGCAAAGAUGGAGACCCUGCAGCCCUGCAGAAGGCACUGGACUAUGCCUGUGGAGCCGGGGCAGAUUGCAACCCCAUAAAACCCAAUGGAGUUUGCUACAACCCCAACACUAUCAAAGCUCACUGCAGCUACGCCGUCAACAGCUUUUUCCAGAAGAAGGGCCAAUCCACCGGUACUUGUGACUUUUCUGGCGCUGCAACCCCUACUACCUCCGAUCCCAGUAAGUCCCCAGAUCCUUCUCUUUUGGGUUUAAUUUUAUUAGCUUUAUGGUUGAUUUUUUUGGGUAUAAAUUAAUUAGAUUAAAGAUUAAAGGUGGUAACUUUUUUUUAAUUUCAUGGUGUUUUUACAGGCUCAAAUGGUUGUACUUACCCUGCCAGUGCCAGGUAUGGUUAAUUUGCACCAUUUUUUAUUUUUUCUGAUUUUCAAGGGUUUUAUUUAUUUUUUGUUAAUUAGGAUUUAGUACUACUUUAAUCUUGAAUGUCUUCAAUUUGAUGCCUGACACUCCACAGUCCACAGUACUUACUCUCUGGAUUUCAAAUUUUAGGGUAGGGCAGAAACACUUGAUUAAAACAUAAGUAGAACUGUAGGAAAAAGCACUUUUAUUAAAAGACAAAAUAUGACUUGAUGGGACAAAGAGUUACCCUACUCCUCUUAGUCAUUUGACUGUAAAAAACUUGGGUUAAUAUUUUAUUCUGCUGCCUUGUUACAUUCCAUCAACUGAAGGAGAAAUUUUUCACUAUCGGGAACGCGGUUUCAUACACCUAGUGACAUCUUAUAAAAAAAUUCUAACUAUUUUUACAUUUGUCACCGGUGCAUUGUUGGAAAAGGGCCAAUAGGCAUCAUUGCCUAUGCCGUUGUCAUUGAAAAAAGGAUGCUUUUUUGAACUAACUAAUCACUAUUUUUAUUGUAAUACAUUCAUCAUAAAAAUGAUUUCUUCACUCAUUUUUUCUUCUUCUUCACUCCGUCUCCUGAUUUUUGUUUGCUUUAUUUCAUUCAAAGGCCUAAAACAGAUACAAUUGUGUGCAUAAGUAGAAUAACGACGUGCGGAAAUCAUUUUCCUUUCAAUAUACUUUAUAAUUAUUAUCCAACACCCUCCUUUUUCUUUUUGCUUUGUUCAAUCUAAUUGAGCUCUUUUUAUGGUUUGACUAGUAUUGUAACGUGCAUCAUGAUUCAGUACUAAUUUCCCUUUUUUUGGUAGUGAAGCUCAGUAAAUUUUCCCAAAUAAUUGGGUAUCCAAUGCUUUAUUUUUAAAUCAUCCCCCACACCCACCAAAACAAAAAGAAAGGGGGGAAGGUUUAAUCUUGUUGAAAAAAAACAGUAAAAGGUCAAAAAAUGUUGUCACAGAAUUGCCAUCGUGGCCAUGGCGAACAAAGACGUUACCUUUUUUGGCUUCAGGCGCCGUACACUGCAUUUUUCACGUUAUGCAAUACAUUGUCUGUCAGCAGAGUCAAAAAUUCAAAAGUAGUGGGCACAAACAUCUGUGGUAAAAGAGCUUUUGUCUUCAUAUAUGCUUUGGGAUGCUGUCUUUUGGAGAUUUGAGCCUUCUUUUUUGAAGUUUUGUAUUCUCGACUGCCGUGCCUUUUUAAUCCCCACCCCCCAUGGUUAGAAUUUGCCUCAUAAACUCAGGAGGAUUCGGUGUCUCAGAUUAAUAAUUCAAUAUUUUGUGUUUUAACUUUAUUAGAAAAGAAAUUAGGAACAAUUGUGCAUGAGUUUUAUGAAUCUUAUCCGCGACACUCGCAUGGCUGUCUGAGACGCUAACAGAAAUACAGUGUCGUGUGUUUUAACUUCCUCAUGUGGCAUUGUAUUGUUGUUCCUUAUUUCUCUCCUUUUGCUUUAAAAUUUUUCCCAGGUUUAUGAUGGUCUACAUUUGAUGCAUCUCAUUCAACAGUAAAAUAUUUCUAACAUUUUUAAUUAGUACUUCCGAUAAUUUUUUUAAUUCAAAAGCUUUCCGGAAAGACCUUUGAUGCUAAUGUACUUUAACUACUUUCGUUUAUAAGUAGUGCCGUGCUUUCUUCUCUCAUACAUUAGUGGAUUUGGACGCAGUUUGCAGAUGGGGCCUACGAUAUUUAUAUUAGUGAUUAAUUAAUAAUUAUCCCCUCUCAAACAAUGUUUAGGAGAAAUAUUUCAAUGGGCCGGUAAGACAGCUUGGUACAUCAAGUGUCAUAAUACAAGUGGAAACAAGAUAUUUUUUCCUAAGUAUUCAACCAUUUGUAUUGUAAUACUUGGUGUAUCGGAGCUGUGUUCUUGGCACAAUGAAAAAUCUCUCCGAAACAAAGUACUUAAAUGGAAUAGGAAAUCAAUAUCCUUUGAAUCCGCAGUAAGUGACUGAUCUUCAAUGGAGGAUCACAUUUUGCUGAAACGGCGUAUGUUUAUGUGAAAAUCUCAAGUGAGUCAUAGUUUUCUUCAUAAAAAUGAAAGGAACUCAGUGACGUCGAAGCGACAGACUACUAGGCGUGUCAGUCAGCUCAGUUUUGUUGAACAGGCAUAAGUUUAAAUCAGCUUACAUGAUUGUACUCCAUGCCUAAAUAUGAUCCGAAAAAAUAUUAUGUCUUCUUGGGUCGUGACAGUGCAGCAUCGCAUAAAAUGUACAUUGUCUUCGUCUUCGGAUGCAACUUUGAAUAGUUAUUCAUAUCUGUGAACUAGUUUCUGGACGAAGAUCAAAGCUUGCUUUACCAGCAUCUCUCUAAGGUUGACUGCUUUUGCAAUAUCAUGCUUGUUCCUUUACAUCCCAUUUCAUAUGAUGGAGAUUAUCUAUCCCGAAGAGUGGUUUGUAGGAUCUCCGAUGAGCUCUAUGCUGCACGGACUCUGUUCAGGCACUGCAUAACCAUAUGGCAUCGUAAAUUUUCGUGAAAAAUUAUUACUUGUUUAUCUUCCAUGAGUUUUAUUUUGUAUUCUCUCAUUCUGUAUGCUUCACAUGAUCGUGUGCGUGCAGCUUCGAUUCUGGCAUUUCUAAUUGUUGUGUUUGGUGUGUUAAAUAUUGCUUUUCUUUGUCCUUCAGCUCCUCAGGCACAACUUCGACAACACCAUCCACUGGAACAGGCACAACUUCGACAACACCAUCCACUGGAACAGGCACAACCCCAACCACCGGAACUACCCCAACCACCGGCACAACCCCUACCUCCGGCACAACCCCUAUGACUGGCACAACACCCACAACUGGCACAACACCUACAGGCACCACCCCAUACACAGCAACUCCUGGAGUACUAGGAGGCAUUGGCACGGGAGUAGGGCCAUCGGGAGCUGGCAUCAACACGGACGACAGCGGUGUGAUUAGACCUAUUGACGCUACUAGCUUGUUUUCUUCUCUCCUAACCCUAUUCUUCUCAGGCUUGAUGCUUUGGUGGGCCUGAAAAGAAAUUUAGUGGGCGUGAGGAGGAGGAGGUGGGGUAGGAUGUGCAAAUAUGAACAUCUUAAGGGACAUCCUUG
This 16973-nucleotide long non-coding RNA is filed under the name Malus domestica (apple). RNAcentral's name for it is "long non-coding RNA (MDOM_LNC014354)". The stretch from base 11425 to 11840 matches the Rfam family "Bacterial large subunit ribosomal RNA", at positions 23 to 557 of the family's 2925-position model. The record is from RNAcentral. Lineage: Eukaryota; Viridiplantae; Streptophyta; Magnoliopsida; Rosales; Rosaceae.